Molecule: long non-coding RNA, 365 nt
Organism: Protopterus annectens (West African lungfish)
Lineage: Eukaryota; Metazoa; Chordata; Ceratodontiformes; Protopteridae
Exons: 3
Source: RefSeq, a predicted model, not a curated record
CAGAUCCUUGAAACAUUAGCAUGCCGUGGGGUUUAUGGCAACCAAUCAGUAACAACCACUCUCAGUGCGUACACAUACACUCCUAAUCAUUAGGAUACAGAGGGAAUUCUACUGCUAGUCAGUGUGUGUCGGUAGUUUUUGAAGUUGUUUUGUUGUUGGAAAGAGUGGUGAUGGAUCCUAAAGCUUGUGACUGUGCUACAGGAGUGGAGGGCCUCCAAGGCCUAGAGCACAUGUAGUCCGGACUAGUAGUAGAAGAGACCGACAGAUCAGGCACAAUCCUUUCCAAUAGAUCCUCUCUCUCCCUCUCAAAAUGUUGCUGCCGAUGAGAGGGCUGCGAACAUUAAUGCCCAUACAGAACGCCUGGU